RNAcentral lists this ribosomal RNA (773 nucleotides) under uncultured Neocallimastigales. RNAcentral describes it as "partial large subunit ribosomal RNA". It matches the Rfam family "Eukaryotic large subunit ribosomal RNA", at positions 24 to 616 of the family's 3401-position model. Lineage: Eukaryota; Fungi; Neocallimastigomycota; Neocallimastigomycetes; Neocallimastigales. The record is from RNAcentral.
AUGUGAUCGUCUCUCGCAUAUCAAUAAGCGGAGGAAAAGAAACUAACAAGGAUUCCCCUAGUAACGGCGAGUGAAGCGGGAAGAGCUCAAAUUUGAAAUCUUAAAGGGUUUCCCUUUACGAAUUGUAGUUUAAAGAAGUGUUUUCUGUUGAGGUUUUGGUAAAAGUUCUUUGGAAUAGGACAUCAUAGAGGGUGAGAAUCCCGUAUUUGACCUUUACUUUCAACUUUGUGAUACACUUUCAAAGAGUCGGAUUGUUUGGGAAUGCAGUCCAAAAUGGGUGGUAAAUUUCAUCUAAAGCUAAAUAUUGGCGAGAGACCGAUAGCGAACAAGUACCGUGAGGGAAAGAUGAAAAGAACUUUGAAAAGAGAGUUAAACAGUACGUGAAAUUGUCAAAAGGGAAGCGUUUGACACCAGUGUUGUUUUUCUGAAAAUCAAUUAAAGAACUGUUUAUGCUAAGUUGUUUAGACUUUAUCAGCUAUCUGUUUAGUUUUGAGCUUUUCUUUAAUGCACUUUUCAGUUAACAAGUCAACAUCAAUUUCUUUUGCUGUAAAAAAGCUUGAGGAAGGUGGCUUGAGAUUCGUCUUAAGUGUUUAUAGCCUCUUGCCUAUGCAGUCGGAGAGAUUGAGGUCUGCAGCGUAGAUCCUUCGGGGCUAAAUGCAUUUGUGCUAAGUUAUAGCAUUUUAUAGACAACUUGUUGACUAUGAUUUGUCUUGUAGCUUACUCGCUUAUGUUAUUUUACCUACGCUUAGGAUGUUGAGCGCAUGUCUCUCUCU